Molecule: non-coding RNA, 68 nt
Organism: Podarcis lilfordi (Lilford's wall lizard)
Lineage: Eukaryota; Metazoa; Chordata; Lepidosauria; Squamata; Lacertidae
Source: the annotation of a GenBank genome assembly
GGGCUGGCCCUGGGUAGGAUAUCUGCUUUGCACGCAGAAGGUCCCACGUUCAAUCCCUGGCAUCUCCA